This 429-nucleotide ribosomal RNA is filed under the name Bacteroidota bacterium. RNAcentral describes it as "Bacteroidetes bacterium partial 16S ribosomal RNA". It matches the Rfam family "Bacterial small subunit ribosomal RNA", at positions 355 to 776 of the family's 1533-position model. Lineage: Bacteria; Pseudomonadati; Bacteroidota. RNAcentral also lists the same sequence under 1 other name. The record is from RNAcentral.
UAGGGAAUCUUCGGCAAUGGGGGGAACCCUGACCGAGCAACGCCGCGUGAGUGAAGAAGGUUUUCGGAUCGUAAAGCUCUGUUGUUAAGGAAGAACGAGUGUGAGAAUGGAAAGUUCAUGCUGUGACGGUACUUAACCAGAAAGGGACGGCUAACUACGUGCCAGCAGCCGCGGUAAUACGUAGGUCCCGAGCGUUGUCCGGAUUUAUUGGGCGUAAAGCGAGCGCAGGCGGUUAGAAAAGCCUGAAGUGAAAGGCAGUGGCUCAACCAUUGUAGGCUUUGGAAACUGUUUAACUUGAGUGCAGAAGGGGAGAGUGGAAUUCCAUGUGUAGCGGUGAAAUGCGUAGAUAUAUGGAGGAACACCGGUGGCGAAAGCGGCUCUCUGGUCUGUAACUGACGCUGAGGCUCGAAAGCGUGGGGAGCGAACAGG